Molecule: transfer RNA, 53 nt
Filed under: Leptorhynchoides thecatus
Lineage: Eukaryota; Metazoa; Acanthocephala; Palaeacanthocephala; Echinorhynchida; Rhadinorhynchidae
Description: tRNA-Pro
Source: RNAcentral
AUGUCAGUUUUUGGAAUAUAUACUUUGGGGGUAUUUGGGUAAAGUGUGACAUG